CAAUAGCGGAUAUUUAAGUUGUUGCAGUUAAAAAGCUCGUAGUUGGAUUUCGGGUGGGACGCAGCGGUCUCGCAUUGCGUUUGUACUGCUGCAGCCCUCCUUCUUGCCGGGGGCGGCCUCUCGGACUUCACUGUCUGGGGGUCAGAAUCGGCGAUGUUACUUUGAGUAAAUUAGAGUGUUCAAAGCAAGCUUACGCUCUGAAUAUAAUAGCAUGGGAUAACACGACAGGACUCUGGCCUAUCGUGUUGGUCUAUAGGACCAGAGUAAUGAUUAAGAGGGACAGUCGGGGGCAUUCGUAUUCCGUUGUCAGAGGUGAAAUUCUUGGAUUUACGGAAGACGAACAUCUGCGAAAGCAUUUGCCAAGGAUGUUUNCAUUGA
RNAcentral lists this ribosomal RNA (378 nucleotides) under uncultured eukaryote. RNAcentral describes it as "partial 18S ribosomal RNA". It matches the Rfam family "Eukaryotic small subunit ribosomal RNA", at positions 592 to 976 of the family's 1831-position model. The record is from RNAcentral.